Molecule: ribosomal RNA, 481 nt
Filed under: uncultured bacterium
Lineage: Bacteria
Description: partial 16S ribosomal RNA
Rfam family: Bacterial small subunit ribosomal RNA
Source: RNAcentral
GAUGAACGCUAGCGGCAGGCCUAAUACAUGCAAGUCGGACGGGAUUCAGGAGCUUGCUUCUGAUGAGAGUGGCGCACGGGUGCGUAACACGUAUGUAACCUACCUUUAUCAGGGGGAUAGCCUCUCGAAAGAGAGAUUAAGCCCGCAUAAAAUCACAGCACAGCAUUGUGUAAUGAUCAAAUAUUUAUAGGAUAAAGAUGGGCAUGCGGAACAUUAGCUAGAUGGCGGGGUAACGGCCCACCAUGGCGACGAUGUUUAGGGGAUCUGAGAGGAUGGCCCCCCACACUGGUACUGAGACACGGACCAGACUCCUACGGGAGGCAGCAGUAGGAAUAUUGGUCAAUGGGCGGAAGCCUGAACCAGCCAUGCCGCGUGCAGGAAGACGGCCCUACGGGUUGUAAACUGCUUUUAUACGGGAAUAAACCCAGAUACGUGUAUCUGGCUGAAUGUACUGUAAGAAUAAGGAUCGGCUAACUCCGUG